GCAUUGGUACUUAAGUAUUUAUUGAGACAAAUACAAACUGGUGGCAUCCAAAUUAAAAACAAAAUGGUGAACUGUAUUUGUAAGUGGGCCAUCAGAUACUGUUUUGCAGGUCCAGGGUCCUACAGUGAGCUGUAAGGAAAUAUGCACAUAUUUCACCCAUACCAGCACAGGCUGUAAGGACUUUGGCGCUUUUGGUAUUGGCGGGGGCGGGUGGCAAGAAACUGAACUACUUGUCAGGUUAAGGGAAUACUGUUGUCUAUGCAGAGUCUUUAAAACAGCAACAAAUACAGAGUCAAAACAUGUAACACUCCAUCCUCCUUCAAAAGCUCUUUAUUCCUAUGUAGCUAAUAAUUUAAAAUUUUCAACUUUCACUUUGCUGGAAAUACUUGGCAUAAGCAAAACACUCAAAACCCUUUCAAUUACUAGUUAAAAUAAAUUUUACCAUAAUUUAAUACAUUAAAAACACUGAAGACUUGUUUUUGUGGUUUAAACAAAGUGACUGACCCUCAAGUAGAAUGCCUUUUUAAAGAUUCCUAAAUACCUGGGUGAACAACUGCUGAACCAAUCCAGAGAAGUAGUUAGGCUAUUCUUUAUAAUACUGGCAAUUGAUGGCUUAUUAUCCAUGUGUUGGCUUUAUUUCUGUGGUCUCAUUAGCAGCCCAAAAGCAAGGCUUGCAGUCACUCAAAACUUACCUUCCGGGGGCCCACCUUCUGGCUUCAACAUGAUUAACUGAUAUGCCAGACUCCUCAAGGUGGACUGGCCACUUCAGUGUACAUUUAGAGAUGCAGUUAGAUUUCUGAGUUGCCCAAGUUCACUUCUAGUCAUUUAUUAACUGAAUUGAUAAUACAGCAAUAAGACAACAUAAUUUCUCAUCAUUGUAUCAGUCCUAAGAUUUUAGCUUAGGACAUGCUUACUGAAAUUGUGUUCUCUGCUCAAGUCCUAAUACUUAUUGCACUGAUUGUUUUAUUAUGAAUACAACUUUCUUUUGCCUUUUAAAAAGGCUAGGGCUUCAACAUGAGAAUUACUAUACGUAGAAGAUCACUUUCUAAAAGUAAAAUAAAGUAGAAAAGUGUCUUCAAAAGGAGAAGUUCCCCAAGAGAAAAAGGGCAGCAAGGCCACAUUUCCUUUUCCUUCAUUGUUUAGUCCUGUUUUCUAAUUUUGGGAACCAAGUGCUGAAUUCAUAAAUAGAAACAGACUUAGGCUUUUGUUGUGAAGGCAAAGUAAUACUUAAAACACAUAAUCUUUUACAGGGCUAUAUAACUGAAUCCACAGUUGGAUCUAGGUUUUAAUCUCAACUUACAUAUAGCAAAUCAUAAUACUUUAUGUAUAACAUUAAACAGGACCCUUUUUUUUUUCCUGUAACCCAGGAUAGGCAACUAUGUAUUUUAUUUGAGCAGAAAUUUCAGAAUUUCAAAGAUGUACUACUCUAGAGCUUUAGGACUAAAUGAUGUUUCAACUUGAAUUCCUCAGUGGCAAGGUAGUACAUAAUGCUAAUGUGCAGAUUAAGUGCUAAGUUUAUAAUAUUUCCCAAUUUUUUUGUAUCGGGGAUCAAACUCAGGACCCUGCGCUUGUGAGGCAGGCAGCGGCACCACCGAACUAAACCCCUGGCCCUCCGAAUUUUUAAUAGAAUUAAAAGAUUUUUUGUUUUUUUACUGGGAAGCACCGUAAAACUAAAUUUUCCCAGAGGCUUCAAGUGAAUGAUCUAUUUAGUACUCUGAUAUAUUUAACUGAUAAGCUUUUGGUAAAGUUGGACUUAAUAUAAAAUUAUUUU
This 1771-nucleotide long non-coding RNA is filed under the name Heterocephalus glaber (naked mole-rat). RNAcentral describes it as "lncRNA (ENSHGLG00000035899.1)". Lineage: Eukaryota; Metazoa; Chordata; Mammalia; Rodentia; Bathyergidae. The record is from RNAcentral.